AUUUGGGUUCUUCUAUACUGCCUACAAGAUGGUAAAAGAUGGAGAAGCCUGGCCUUCCUUUGCAUUUGGUCUAGGGCCCUGUCUGACAUCCUGCAGAAGAAAGUGACUUGCUUCAGGGAAGUCAAGACAAAGGCAGAGAUGAGUCUCUGGACACAACUUGUUCAGGCCUGAGGAUCUGGUGUUGGUUUUAGAAAUGAGUUUUUCAGACCAAGAAUUAUUAGGACAAGCUCUUGAAGAUGCCUUGGAGAUAAUACAGCAACAUUCUGAUGGUGAUUUUCUUUA
This is a non-coding RNA of Pogona vitticeps (central bearded dragon), 282 nucleotides long. Lineage: Eukaryota; Metazoa; Chordata; Lepidosauria; Squamata; Agamidae. The record is from RefSeq and is a predicted model, not a curated record.